RNAcentral lists this long non-coding RNA (3430 nucleotides) under Oryctolagus cuniculus (rabbit). RNAcentral's name for it is "lncRNA (ENSOCUG00000035700.1)". Lineage: Eukaryota; Metazoa; Chordata; Mammalia; Lagomorpha; Leporidae. The record is from RNAcentral.
AUGCAGCCCAGGCCUGGUGUGGGACGCACCCUCGCCGCGCCCAAGCUGUCCCCGCCCCUCUCCCGGGACUGCCCUGGCUUUGAUCAGUCAAACGCCAGGAAUGGAGGCAGCGGGAGCGCGCCCGGGACCCCAGUGUGCCCCAGCGCGGGAGCGCGCCCGGGACCCGGCAGUGCCCGUGUCCGCAGCCCUUUGUGGUUUCCGGCAGUGGCCGGGGCAGCGCUGAGUCACAGGGAAGCAGCGCCAGGAGGGAAGCCGGCAGCGGCUUCCUCCCCGCCUCCUCUUCCUCUGGGCGCCCUAAGUAGCACCCUGGCUCUGGGCCUUGGGGCAGCACCCAGGUUGCACCCUCAGCCCAGCCUGGCCCUGCCCAGCCCUGUGCAGGACAGAGGACCUUCGGCGGCGGUGCGGGCGGCAGGACCCGGAUCCGUGUGGCCCAGAAGGCGACGGAGGCCGGGCCAGCCCAGGCCGGACCGUGUGAUGCCCUCUGCACACGCAGCACGCGGGAGCCCAGCGACAGCGCCAUGCGAGAUGGACUUGAGUUUCUUCCGCGGUGCCUUCUGGACUUACUGGAUGCUUUUAAAUAAACACAGUUAAAGGCAGCACCUUCUUGGAAGGGUGUGGGAGAAUCACGCCCGAGAGCCUGGUGAGGCCCCGCCCUGCUGCCCUCACUCUGGCUCGGCACCUCCGCUGGAGGUCAUCUAUUCAUUCUACAAGCAUGCACUGCUGCCGCCUCUGUGCUGGCCUCCGGCUGGGCUCCGGGAAGCUUCCAGGACGGCUGGACCGCAGUGUGGACCUGCACACCCAGAGUGUUGCCUCCGAAUCGAGACGCCCUAGGACCAGCCACCCAAGGCAUCGUGCCGGACGCCCACGGCCCACGGCAUGUUCUUCAAAAGAGAAGCCGGGCAGACGGCAAGGCGUGCACAGACCCAGCUGGGGCUCCCGACGGUGCUCGGGGCUGCCCCGAGGGCACAGCACCCCCAGCCCCGCCGGCAUCCAGGCCCUACCCCGGGGGGUCUUCCCGAGCUCUCGGGCCCCUGUUGUGGGCAGGCACAUGGGAUAAAAUUGAUCAGGUCUGCGAGCGGGAAGACCACGUCUUCACCACACCCCCGUGUGGCCGCACGCCCCUACCUGGCCACACCUGUGCACCCCCGGCCCAUCAGGCUACUUAACCACUCUCCUUUGGAAGUGCACUAGAACCCCGGGCCACGGUGUGCCAGCCCCCCCUUUCCUCGGGCUUUUGCCAGGGUGGGGUCUGUGUGGCCCUGCGCCUCGAGGGCACCUGGCCUUCGGGCCACCGCCCAUGCUCCCUGGCAGGACGCUCCUCCACGUGGCUGGCUCCCGGCAUCGGUGUGAACCAGAUUUACCCCUCAGUGAGACAAAGCCUCACUCCCUCUCCCAUGCGCUUCUCUCACCAAGUAAAAGCUUUAAAAUGCACCCUGCCGCCUCGUUCCUCUGCGGCGGCGGCCGGAAGGCCUCUCCGAGUGUUAGGCGAGGACCCGCAGGCUUGUUAAGCUUGGGAACUUACUAAUAAGCACGAGGUGAUGCCGUACGGCACCCACAUGGCACUUUUGGGGAACGUUCAGGGGGUCAUAUUCCGAUUUCACAUUUUAGGGGGCCAAUUCCGAUAUCACCCCCACUCCUGGGGAUCCCCAAGUCGGCCAAGCAUGCCCACAGUCUACCCCGCGGGAGGCAGGCAGGCAGCAGACACGCCCACUUCCCAGCUCCCCCCACCCCCAUCCGGAGGAUGACGUCGAGGUGCGGUGGAUAGCCGCCCGCGGGAGGUGCCAGGAAGAUGGAGCUCAGGGCCAGCCCCCCAGGAUGCCACCCCUGCCGCCCGGUGGCCCCCAGGCCCCCACAUACAGGCGGCCGCUGUGUCCACAGGGGCAGGGCAGCCGUUGGAAGGGAGAUGUGUCCUGGCCAGGCCUUGAAAUGGUGAGGGGCCUGGCCGUGGGCAGGAAGGGCCCCUGCAGGUGGCCAGCGCGGAGAAAGUGCAAGAACUGAGCCUUGGGAUCCCACAGCUCAAGGCCAAGGCUUCUGUGUCCCAGGUGCAGGCGCGGGGCUCCUGUGGGAGGCGGGGCUCGUGGUCAGGUCCACGGUGCAGGGCAGAAGGGGGAGGAAGACAGUGGCCCCUCACCCCCCAGGCAGGCGCCACUGGAGCCCGCCUCCCUGCUGAGAACCGAGUGAGCGGGAGCCGCCCUCCUCAGGACCCUACCAGCUGGCCGUGGCCUCUGCAGCCGAGUGAGGUAGCUGCUCUCAACCCUCCUCCACCCGCCCCUGAAAUCACAGCCGGUGUUACCCGGGCUCGCGAGACGGGCGGCGUCGGAGAGCGUCGGUGGCCCAUCCAGGCUCACACAGCCAGCAUGGGCCGCAGUCUGGGGCCGGAAUUCGCUGGACAACCCACUGACUGCGGCGGCAGACUGCUGCCCCUUGGGCCUCCUCCACCUCCCGGCUGCCGACCCCUCCACCUGGCCCUGCCGCCUGUGUGAUGUGGCACUGAGGGUCACGUGGCGCCACGUUCGAGUCACAUUCGGUAAAGUGUGACCCUGGGCAGGUGACCCUCACUGCCUCCACCCAAGCAGUGUCCACAUCAGCUGGUCAGGGAGACUGUGUGAUGAACUGAGCCAGGACACACAUCUGAGAUGGGGGCCCUAAAAUCAGGGCCAGAGAAAAAGUCACAGCCAAACUAAGGCCAGGGACACAGUCGCCCGCAGCACUGGGGCAGGGACAUGGUCUCCUGCAGAGCCGGGUCAGGGACACGGUCGCCCGCAGAGCUGGACCCAGGGACACGGUCACCUGCAUAGCUGGACCCAAGGACACGGUCACCUGCAGCCCCGGGGCAGGGACACGGUCACUCACAAAGCUGGGGCAGGGACACGGUCACCCGCGGAGCAGGGACACAGUGACUCAGAGGGCUGAGGUGAGGGACACGGUCACACACACAGCUCCUCGCAGGACUCCCGCCCCUGCCCCACUGCCUGGGGCUGCCAAGAGGGGCCUUCAGCCCCUGGACCCGGGCAGCCUCAGGUCCCUCCUCAGGGAGAAGCCCACCCCAGCUCUCAGUGGCCUCCCAGCCCUAGAGAACCAACCCCAGGGCCUCCCUGAGUCUGCUCAGCCGAGGGAAGUGCGGCCCUGUCCCACCCUCAGCCCAGACCCGGCACAGGAAGCAGCGGGGCCCGGCCCGGGCAUCCAUCGUUUCCAUCGGCUCGGUGGGGGCCCCAGCUCCCAUCCGAGUGCCCCGACUCUGUCCUCCUUGUUGUCCUGGUGUCGUGGCUGACCCUGACGCACUGCCACCAGGCCAGUCACCUCCCCUCGGGGCGCCCAGCUAAUAACACCGCCCACUCAGGAGCACAGGUCUUUGUGACAAGCGUGUGGACUCAGAAAACAACAGGCCACUUGGAAAACAAUAAAAGAAUCACCCCUGCCCCGCCUGGCA